AGAGUUUGAUCCUGGCUCAGGAUGAACGCUAGCGGCAGGCUUAACACAUGCAAGUCGAGGGGUAACAGGGAUUGCUUGCAAUCCGCUGACGACCGGCGCACGGGUGCGUAACGCGUAUGCAAUUUGCCUUGUACAGGAGGAUAGCCUUUAGAAAUGAAGAUUAAUACUCCAUAGUCUAUUAGAAUCGCCUGAUUUUAAUAGUAAAGAUUUAUCGGUACAAGAUGAGUAUGCGUUCUAUUAGCUAGAUGGAGAGGUAACGGCUCCCCAUGGCAACGAUAGAUAGGGGUCCUGAGAGGGAGAUCCCCCACACUGGUACUGAGACACGGACCAGACUCCUACGGGAGGCAGCAGUGAGGAAUAUUGGGCAAUGGAGGCAACUCUGACCCAGCCAUGCCGCGUGAAGGAAGACGGCCCUAUGGGUUGUAAACUUCUUUUAUAGAGGAAGAAACCCUCCCACGUGUGGGAGGCUGACGGUACUCUACGAAUAAGCACCGGCUAACUCCGUGCCAGCAGCCGCGGUAAUA
This 524-nucleotide ribosomal RNA is filed under the name uncultured bacterium. Its description in RNAcentral is "bacterial SSU rRNA". It matches the Rfam family "Bacterial small subunit ribosomal RNA", at positions 8 to 525 of the family's 1533-position model. The record is from RNAcentral.